Long non-coding RNA from Ostrea edulis (European flat oyster), 606 nucleotides. RefSeq lists it as uncharacterized. Lineage: Eukaryota; Metazoa; Mollusca; Bivalvia; Ostreida; Ostreidae. The transcript has 2 exons. The record is from RefSeq and is a predicted model, not a curated record.
UAACAAUGCCAAAAGUUUAUUAUUUCUGUGGAAAUUGCUUUCUGUCUGGUUUUAAGAUAUGGAAAUAAGCUGAACACUGUUAAGUGGACACAUGUUUGGAAUUGCUUUUCUGACAUGGGCAUCCAGGACAUUCUAACUGUUAUGGACUUACUGCGUACACUCCCUGCCACUUCUGUUGUCAAUGAGGCCUCCUUCAACCAGAUGAAAAUGACCAAGACAAACAGGAGACAGCGUUUGAGUAACAAGCACCUUGAUGAUUGCAUGGUUAUUCAGCUGGAGUCGACUGAUAUUUUGAACUUUGAUCCAACAGAAGCAAUUAAUAAAUGGAUGACAUCAAGUAAGCAGCCAAGAUGAUUGACCUACGCUAGAUCUACUUGCAACAAGAACAGCGAACAACAAGACGAAGACAUUAUGAUUCAGGAAGUGACACAGGAUGAGGAACCUAGGAAUACAACAGUUGCUGAAUCGGACCCUGAGACUGCAGAUGACUGUGACUACGAGACGGACUGUGACUCUGACAACGAACAGACAGAAGACUUUAAUGACAGAGCAAUUGAACAAACUGUGCAUGAAAUGGAAAUAGAAAUAAAUUAUUAGUCCGAUCUA